RNAcentral lists this ribosomal RNA (386 nucleotides) under uncultured bacterium. RNAcentral describes it as "bacterial SSU rRNA". It matches the Rfam family "Bacterial small subunit ribosomal RNA", at positions 30 to 418 of the family's 1533-position model. The record is from RNAcentral.
AUUGAACGCUGGCGGAAUGCUUUACACAUGCAAGUCGAGCGGCAGCGCGGGGCAACCUGGCGGCGAGCGGCGAACGGGUGAGUAAUGUAUCGGAACGUAUCCUUAAGUGGGGGACAACUAGUCGAAAGACUAGCUAAUACCGCAUACGAUCGAGAGAUGAAAGUGGGGGACCGCAAGGCCUCACGCUUUUGGAGCGGCCGAUAUCCGAUUAGCUUGUUGGUGAGGUAAAGGCUUACCAAGGCUAUGAUCGGUAGCUGGUCUGAGAGGAUGAUCAGCCACACUGGGACUGAGACACGGCCCAGACUCCUACGGGAGGCAGCAGUGGGGAAUUUUGGACAAUGGGGGCAACCCUGAUCCAGCCAUUCCGCGUGAGUGAAGAAGGCCUC